CAGCAGCCGCGGUAAUACGAGGGGUGCAAGCGUUAUUCGGAUUGAUUGGGUGUAAAGGGUGUGCAGACGGCUUAUUAAGUCACUUGUUAAAUUCUUCGGCCUAACUGAAGGUCUGCAAGUGAUACUGAUGAGCUAGAGGGUGGAAGAGAGAAGUGGAAUUCCCGGAGUAGCGGUAAAAUGCGUAGAUCUCGAGAGGAACACCAAUGGCGAAGGCAGCUUCUUGGUCCAUUCCUGACGUUCAUACACGAAAGCGUAGGAGCAAACAGGAUUAGAUACCCCUGUAGUCCCUGUCUCUUAUACA
RNAcentral lists this ribosomal RNA (301 nucleotides) under uncultured bacterium. RNAcentral's name for it is "partial 16S ribosomal RNA". It matches the Rfam family "Bacterial small subunit ribosomal RNA", at positions 509 to 808 of the family's 1533-position model. The record is from RNAcentral.